AGCGUACACGGUGGAUGCCCUGGCAGUCAGAGGCGAUGAAGGACGUGCUAAUCUGCGAUAAGCGUCGGUAAGGUGAUAUGAACCGUUAUAACCGGCGAUUUCCGAAUGGGGAAACCCAGUGUGUUUCGACACACUAUCAUUAACUGAAUCCAUAGGUUAAUGAGGCGAACCGGGGGAACUGAAACAUCUAAGUACCCCGAGGAAAAGAAAUCAACCGAGAUUCCCCCAGUAGCGGCGAGCGAACGGGGAGCAGCCCAGAGCCUGAAUCAGUUUUAAAAGAACACUCUGGAAAGUGUGGCCAUAGACGGUGAUAGCCCGGUAUUUGAAAAGGCUUUUAAAGUGAAAAUCGAGUAGGUCGGAGCACGAGAAACUUUGWCUGAAYAUGGGGGGACCAUCCUCCAAGGCUAAAUACUCCUAAUCGACCGAUAGUGAACYAGUACCGUGAGGGAAAGGCGAAAAGAACCCCGGAGAGGGGAGUGAAAUAGAUCCUGAAACCGUAUGCGUACAAGCAGUSRGAGCGGAUCWUGUKCYGUGACUGCGUACCUUUUGUAUAAUGGGUCAGCGACUUACUUUCAGUGGCRAGCUUAACCGWWUAGGGGAGGCGUAGMGAAAKCGAGUCUKAAUAGGGCGUCGAGUCGCUAGGAGUAGACCCGAAACCGGGCGAUCUAUCCAUGGYCAGGKUGAAGGUSRGGUAAYACYKACUGGAGGMCCGAACCCACUUAUGUUGAAAAAUGAGGGGAUGAGCUGUGGAUCGGAGUGAAAGGCUAAUCAAGCCCGGAGAUAGCUGGUUCUCCUCGAAAGCUAUUUAGGUAGCGCCUCGUGUAUAACUGUUGGGGGUAGAGCACUGUUUCGGCUAGGGGGUCAUCCCGACUUACCAACCCGAUGCAAACUCCGAAUACCAACAAGUUCAAUCACGGGAGACACACGGCGGGUGAUAASGUCCGUYGUGRARAGGGAAACARCCCAGACCGCCAGCUAAGGUCCCAAAGUCAUGGUUAAGUGGGAAACGAUGUGGGAAGGCCCAGACAGCCAGGAUGUUGGCUUAGAAGCAGCCAUCAUUUAAAGAAAGCGUAAUAGCUCACUGGUCGAGUCGGCCUGCGCGGAAGAUGUAACGGGGCUAAACCAUGCACCGAAGCUGCGGCAGCGACGCUUAUGCGUUGUUGGGUAGGGGAGCGUUCUGUAAGCCUGCGAAGGUGUGCUGUGAGGCAUGCUGGAGGUAUCAGAAGUGCGAAUGCUGACAUAAGUAACGAUAAAGCGGGUGAAAAGCCCGCUCGCCGGAAGACCAAGGGUUCCUGUCCAACGUUAAUCGGGGCAGGGUGAGUCGACCCCUAAGGCGAGGCCGAAAGGCGUAGUCGAUGGGAAACAGGUUAAUAUUCCUGUACUUGGUGUUACUGCGAAGGGGGGACGGAGAAGGCUAUGUUGGCCGGGCGACGGUUGUCCCGGUUUAAGCGUGUAGGCUGGUUUUCCAGGCAAAUCCGGAAAAUCAAGGCUGAGGCGUGAUGACGAGGCACUACGGUGCUGAAGCAACAAAUGCCCUGCUUCCAGGAAAAGCCUCUAAGCAUCAGGUAACAUCAAAUCGUACCCCAAACCGACACAGGUGGUCAGGUAGAGAAUACCAAGGCGCUUGAGAGAACUCGGGUGAAGGAACUAGGCAAAAUGGUGCCGUAACUUCGGGAGAAGGCACGCUGAUAUGUAGGUGAAGCGACUUGCUCGUGGAGCUGAAAUCAGUCGAAGAUACCAGCUGGCUGCAACUGUUUAUUAAAAACACAGCACUGUGCAAACACGAAAGUGGACGUAUACGGUGUGACGCCUGCCCGGUGCCGGAAGGUUAAUUGAUGGGGUCAGCGCAAGCGAAGCUCUUGAUCGAAGCCCCGGUAAACGGCGGCCGUAACUAUAACGGUCCUAAGGUAGCGAAAUUCCUUGUCGGGUAAGUUCCGACCUGCACGAAUGGCGUAAUGAUGGCCAGGCUGUCUCCACCCGAGACUCAGUGAAAUUGAACUCGCUGUGAAGAUGCAGUGUACCCGCGGCAAGACGGAAAGACCCCGUGAACCUUUACUAUAGCUUGACACUGAACAUUGAGCCUUGAUGUGUAGGAUAGGUGGGAGGCUUUGAAGUGUGGACGCCAGUCUGCAUGGAGCCGACCUUGAAAUACCACCCUUUAAUGUUUGAUGUUCUAACGUUGACCCGUAAUCCGGGUUGCGGACAGUGUCUGGUGGGUAGUUUGACUGGGGCGGUCUCCUCCUAAAGAGUAACGGAGGAGCACGAAGGUUGGCUAAUCCUGGUCGGACAUCAGGAGGUUAGUGCAAUGGCAUAAGCCAGCUUGACUGCGAGCGUGACGGCGCGAGCAGGUGCGAAAGCAGGUCAUAGUGAUCCGGUGGUUCUGAAUGGAAGGGCCAUCGCUCAACGGAUAAAAGGUACUCCGGGGAUAACAGGCUGAUACCGCCCAAGAGUUCAUAUCGACGGCGGUGUUUGGCACCUCGAUGUCGGCUCAUCACAUCCUGGGGCUGAAGUAGGUCCCAAGGGUAUGGCUGUUCGCCAUUUAAAGUGGUACGCGAGCUGGGUUUAGAACGUCGUGAGACAGUUCGGUCCCUAUCUGCCGUGGGCGUUUGAGAUUUGAGAGGAGCUGCUCCUAGUACGAGAGGACCGGAGUGGACGUACCUCUGGUGUUCCGGUUGUCAUGCCAAUGGCAUUGCCGGGUAGCUAUGUACGGACAGGAUAACCGCUGAAAGCAUCUAAGCGGGAAGCCCCCCUCAAGAUGAGAUCUCACUGGACCUUUAAGGUCCCUGAAGGGCCGUUGA
This 2798-nucleotide ribosomal RNA is filed under the name microbial mat metagenome. Its description in RNAcentral is "bacterial LSU rRNA". It matches the Rfam family "Bacterial large subunit ribosomal RNA". The record is from RNAcentral.